UCCUACGGGGCGCAGCAGUAGGGAAUAUUGCACAAUGGGGGAAACCCUGAUGCAGCGACGCCGCGUGAAGGAUGAAGUAUUUCGGUAUGUAAACUUCUAUCAGCAAGGAAGAAAAUGACGGUACUUGACUAAGAAGCCCCGGCUAAAUACGUGCCAGCAGCCGCGGUAAUACGUAUGGGGCAAGCGUUAUCCGGAUUUACUGGGUGUAAAGGGAGCGUAGGCGGUACGGCAAGUCAGAAGUGAAAGCCUGGGGCUCAACCCCGGAAUUGCUUUUGAAACUGUCGAACUAGAGUGUCGGAGGGGUA
Molecule: ribosomal RNA, 305 nt
Filed under: uncultured bacterium
Lineage: Bacteria
Description: bacterial SSU rRNA
Rfam family: Bacterial small subunit ribosomal RNA
Source: RNAcentral